RNAcentral lists this ribosomal RNA (440 nucleotides) under uncultured bacterium. RNAcentral's name for it is "partial 16S ribosomal RNA". It matches the Rfam family "Bacterial small subunit ribosomal RNA", at positions 338 to 795 of the family's 1533-position model. The record is from RNAcentral.
CCUACGGGAGGCUGCAGUGGGGGAUAUUGCACAAUGGGGGGAACCCUGAUGCAGCGACGCCGCGUGGGUGAAGAAGCGCCUCGGCGCGUAAAGCCCUGUCAGCAGGGAAGAAAAUGACGGUACCUGAAGAAGAAGCCCCGUCUAACUACGUGCCAGCAGCCGCGGUAAUAUGGAGGGGGCAAGCGUUAUCCGGAUUUACUGGGGGUAAAGGGGGGGCAGGCGGGGUUGCAAGCCAGGAGUGAAAGCCCGGGGCCCAACCCCGGGACGGCUGUUGGAACGGCGGGGCUUGAGUGCAGGAGGGGCAGGCGGAAUUCGUGGUGUAGCGGUGAAAUGCGUAGAUAUCAGGAGGAACACCGGUGGCGAAGGCGGCCUGCUGGACUGCAACUGACGUUGAGGCCCGAAAGCGUGGGUAGCAAACAGGAUUAGAUACCCGAGUAGUC